GAUGAACGCUGGCGGCGUGCUUAACACAUGCAAGUCGAACGUGAGGGUGCAGCAAUGUGCCUGAAAGUGGCGAACGGGUGAGUAACACGUAGAUGACCUGCCCUGGAGUGGGGGAUAACCAUUGGAAACGGUGGCUAAUACCGCAUACAUCCAUAUUUCUGGGAAGAGAUGUGGGGAAAGCUCUGGUGCUCUGGGAGGGGUCUGCGUCCGAUUAGCUAGUUGGUGGGGUAAAGGCCCACCAAGGCGACGAUCGGUAGCUGGUCUGAGAGGACGAUCAGCCACACGGGAACUGAGACACGGUCCCGACUCCUACGGGGGGCAGCAGUGAGGAAUAUUGGGCAAUGGGCGAGAGCCUGACCCAGCAACGCCGCGU
This 373-nucleotide ribosomal RNA is filed under the name uncultured bacterium. RNAcentral describes it as "bacterial SSU rRNA". It matches the Rfam family "Bacterial small subunit ribosomal RNA", at positions 28 to 402 of the family's 1533-position model. The record is from RNAcentral.